GGUUAAGCGACUAAGCGUACACGGUGGAUGCCCUGGCAGUCAGAGGCGAUGAAGGGCGUGCUAAUCUGCGAUAAGCGCCGGUAAGGUGAUAUGAACCGUUAUAACCGGCGAUACCCGAAUGGGGAAACCCAGUGUGAUUCGUCACACUAUCAUUAACUGAAUCCAUAGGUUAAUGAGGCGAACCGGGGGAACUGAAACAUCUAAGUACCCCGAGGAAAAGAAAUCAACCGAGAUUCCCCCAGUAGCGGCGAGCGAACGGGGAGGAGCCCAGAGCCUGAAUCAGCAUGUGUGUUAGUGGAAGCGUCUGGAAAGGCGCGCGAUACAGGGUGACAGCCCCGUACACAAAAGCGCAUGUGCUGUGAGCUCGAUGAGUAGGGCGGGACACGUGGUAUCCUGUCUGAAUAUGGGGGGACCAUCCUCCAAGGCUAAAUACUCCUGACUGACCGAUAGUGAACCAGUACCGUGAGGGAAAGGCGAAAAGAACCCCGGCGAGGGGAGUGAAAAAGAACCUGAAACCGUGUACGUACAAGCAGUGGGAGCACAGGUUUACCUGUGUGACUGCGUACCUUUUGUAUAAUGGGUCAGCGACUUAUAUUCUGUAGCAAGGUUAACCGAAUAGGGGAGCCGGAGGGAAACCGAGUCUUAAUUGGGCGUUAAGUUGCAGGGUAUAGACCCGAAACCCGGUGAUCUAGCCAUGGGCAGGUUGAAGGUUGGGUAACACUAACUGGAGGACCGAACCGACUAAUGUUGAAAAAUUAGCGGAUGACCUGUGGCUGGGGGUGAAAGGCCAAUCAAACCGGGAGAUAGCUGGUUCUCCCCGAAAGCUAUUUAGGUAGCGCCUCGUGAAUUCAUCUCCGGGGGUAGAGCACUGUUUCGGCUAGGGGGCCAUCCCGGCUUACCAACCCGAUGCAAACUGCGAAUACCGGAGAAUGUUAUCACGGGAGACACACGGCGGGUGCUAACGUCCGUCGUGAAGAGGGAAACAACCCAGACCGCCAGCUAAGGUCCCAAAGUCAUGGUUAAGUGGGAAACGAUGUGGGAAGGCCCAGACAGCCAGGAUGUUGGCUUAGAAGCAGCCAUCAUUUAAAGAAAGCGUAAUAGCUCACUGGUCGAGUCGGCCUGCGCGGAAGAUGUAACGGGGCUAAACCAUGCACCGAAGCUGCGGCAGCGAACGUAUCACUUAAAGCGAUUCAGCGGGUUACGAUUGACGGAGCGAAGCGACGUCAAAGCGUAUACAAAGUCGAGUCGGUUUAAGGAUACGUUCGUUGGGUAGGGGAGCGUUCUGUAAGCCUGUGAAGGUGGCCUGUGAGGGUUGCUGGAGGUAUCAGAAGUGCGAAUGCUGACAUAAGUAACGAUAAAGCGGGUGAAAAGCCCGCUCGCCGGAAGACCAAGGGUUCCUGUCCAACGUUAAUCGGGGCAGGGUGAGUCGACCCCUAAGGCGAGGCCGAAAGGCGUAGUCGAUGGGAAACGGGUUAAUAUUCCCGUACUUGGUGUUACUGCGAAGGGGGGACGGAGAAGGCUAUGUUGGCCGGGCGACGGUUGUCCCGGUUUAAGCGUGUAGGUGUGUGUUCCAGGUAAAUCCGGUUCACUUUAACACUGAGGCGUGACGACGAGGCACUACGGUGCUGAAGCAACAAAUGCCCUGCUUCCAGGAAAAGCCUCUAAGCAUCAGGUAACAUCAAAUCGUACCCCAAACCGACACAGGUGGUCAGGUAGAGAAUACCAAGGCGCUUGAGAGAACUCGGGUGAAGGAACUAGGCAAAAUGGUGCCGUAACUUCGGGAGAAGGCACGCUGACACGUAGGUGAAGUGAUUUACUCACGGAGCUGAAGUCAGUCGAAGAUACCAGCUGGCUGCAACUGUUUAUUAAAAACACAGCACUGUGCAAACACGAAAGUGGACGUAUACGGUGUGACGCCUGCCCGGUGCCGGAAGGUUAAUUGAUGGGGUCAGCGCAAGCGAAGCUCCUGAUCGAAGCCCCGGUAAACGGCGGCCGUAACUAUAACGGUCCUAAGGUAGCGAAAUUCCUUGUCGGGUAAGUUCCGACCUGCACGAAUGGCGUAAUGAUGGCCAGGCUGUCUCCACCCGAGACUCAGUGAAAUUGAACUCGCUGUGAAGAUGCAGUGUACCCGCGGCAAGACGGAAAGACCCCGUGAACCUUUACUAUAGCUUGACACUGAACAUUGAGCCUUGAUGUGUAGGAUAGGUGGGAGGCUUUGAAGUGUGGACGCCAGUCUGCAUGGAGCCGACCUUGAAAUACCACCCUUUAAUGUUUGAUGUUCUAACGUGGACCCGUAAUCCGGGUUGCGGACAGUGUCUGGUGGGUAGUUUGACUGGGGCGGUCUCCUCCUAAAGAGUAACGGAGGAGCACGAAGGUUGGCUAAUCCUGGUCGGACAUCAGGAGGUUAGUGCAAUGGCAUAAGCCAGCUUGACUGCGAGCGUGACGGCGCGAGCAGGUGCGAAAGCAGGUCAUAGUGAUCCGGUGGUUCUGAAUGGAAGGGCCAUCGCUCAACGGAUAAAAGGUACUCCGGGGAUAACAGGCUGAUACCGCCCAAGAGUUCAUAUCGACGGCGGUGUUUGGCACCUCGAUGUCGGCUCAUCACAUCCUGGGGCUGAAGUAGGUCCCAAGGGUAUGGCUGUUCGCCAUUUAAAGUGGUACGCGAGCUGGGUUUAGAACGUCGUGAGACAGUUCGGUCCCUAUCUGCCGUGGGCGCUGGAGAACUGAGGGGGGCUGCUCCUAGUACGAGAGGACCGGAGUGGACGCAUCACUGGUGUUCGGGUUGUCAUGCCAAUGGCACUGCCCGGUAGCUAAAUGCGGAAGAGAUAAGUGCUGAAAGCAUCUAAGCACGAAACUUGCCCCGAGAUGAGUUCUCCCUGAGACUUUAGGUCUCCUGAAGGAACGUUGAAGACGACGACGUUGAUAGGCCGGGUGUGUAAGCGCAGCGAUGCGUUGAGCUAACCGGUACUAAUGAACCGUGAGGCUUAACCUU
RNAcentral lists this ribosomal RNA (2989 nucleotides) under Salmonella enterica subsp. enterica serovar Corvallis. Its description in RNAcentral is "23S ribosomal RNA". It matches the Rfam family "Bacterial large subunit ribosomal RNA". The record is from RNAcentral. Lineage: Bacteria; Pseudomonadati; Pseudomonadota; Gammaproteobacteria; Enterobacterales; Enterobacteriaceae.